CCUACGGGGUGCAGCAGUGGGGAAUAUUGGACAAUGGGGGGAACCCUGAUCCAGCGACGCCGCGUGAGUGAAGAAGUAUUUCGGUAUGUAAAGCUCUAUCAGCAGGGAAGAAAGAAAUGACGGUACCUGACUAAGAAGCCCCGGCUAACUACGUGCCAGCAGCCGCGGUAAUACGUAGGGGGCAAGCGUUAUCCGGAUUUACUGGGUGUAAAGGGAGCGUAGACGGCGAAGCAAGUCUGAAGUGAAAGGCGGGGGCUCAACCCCCGGACUGCUUUGGAAACUGUAUGGCUGGAGUGCAGGAGAGGUAAGUGGAAUUCCUAGUGUAGCGGUGAAAUGCGUAGAUAUUAGGAGGAACACCAGUGGCGAAGGCGGCUUACUGGACGGUAACUGACGUUGAGGCUCGAAAGCGUGGGGAGCAAACAGGAUUAGAUACCCGAGUAGUC
RNAcentral lists this ribosomal RNA (443 nucleotides) under uncultured bacterium. Its description in RNAcentral is "partial 16S ribosomal RNA". It matches the Rfam family "Bacterial small subunit ribosomal RNA", at positions 338 to 795 of the family's 1533-position model. The record is from RNAcentral.